UACGUAGGUUGCAAGCGUUGUCCGGAAUUAUUGGGCGUAAAGCGCGCGCAGGUGGUUUAAUAAGUCUGAUGUAAAAGCCCACGGCCCAACCGUGGAAGGUCAUUGGAAACUGUUAAACUUGAGUGCAGGAGAGGAAAGUGGAAUUCCUGGUGUAGCGGUGAAAUGCGUAGAGAUUAGGAGGAACACCAGUGGCGAAGGCGGCUUUUUGGCCUGCAACUGACACUCAGGCGCGAAAGCGUGGGGAGCAAACAGG
Molecule: ribosomal RNA, 253 nt
Filed under: uncultured bacterium
Lineage: Bacteria
Description: partial 16S ribosomal RNA
Rfam family: Bacterial small subunit ribosomal RNA
Source: RNAcentral